Acipenser ruthenus (sterlet) is the source of this 613-nucleotide long non-coding RNA. RefSeq lists it as uncharacterized. Lineage: Eukaryota; Metazoa; Chordata; Actinopteri; Acipenseriformes; Acipenseridae. The transcript is spliced from 4 exons. The record is from RefSeq and is a predicted model, not a curated record.
GAUUUUAAAAGCAUUACGUAUUCAAGAAUCCAUGAGACGAACUGACCCUGAAGGAGUUGUGCUGCGUGCAUUGUCCUUAAACACUAUAAGAAGAUGGGCAUACAGUGUCCCUGCACCAAACUGCCUUUGGCACAUUGAUGGGAACCACAAACUUAUCAGGGUAUCUGACUUCUACACAGCAGUGGAGGAUAGCGAACUUGACAGCAUUGUAACUGAAAUUCAGUGCAACUUUCCAAAUUCUGGAUACAAGAUGAUGCUUGGGUAUCUGCAUGGAUGAGGAAUCAGGAUUCAAUCAUUACGUAUUCAAGAAUCCAUGAGACGAACUGACCCUGAAGGAGUUGUGCUGCGUGCAUUGUCCUUAAACACUAUAAGAAGAUGGGCAUACAGUGUCCCUGCACCAAACUGCCUUUGGCACAUUGAUGGGAACCACAAACUUAUCAGCUGUCCAAAGAUUUGGCUUGCCUUCCCGUGUGAGAAGUGACAAAGGAGGAGAAAAUAGAGAAGUUGCAAGUUUUAUGGUCAGCACUAGAGGGACAGACAGAAACUCACACAUAGCAGGGAGAAGUGUGCACAACCAAAGGUAAAUGUAACAGAUUUUACAGUGAUUUAUGGA